Molecule: ribosomal RNA, 497 nt
Filed under: uncultured bacterium
Lineage: Bacteria
Description: partial 16S ribosomal RNA
Rfam family: Bacterial small subunit ribosomal RNA
Source: RNAcentral
GAUGAACGCUGGCGGCGUGCCUAAUACAUGCAAGUCGAGCGAACAGAUGAGGAGCUUGCUCCUCUGACGUUAGCGGCGGACGGGUGAGUAACACGUGGAUAACCUACCUAUAAGACUGGGAUAACUUCGGGAAACCGGAGCUAAUACCGGAUAAUAUAUUGAACCGCAUGGUUCAAUAGUGAAAGACGGUUUUGCUGUCACUUAUAGAUGGAUCCGCGCCGCAUUAGCUAGUUGGUAAGGUAACGGCUUACCAAGGCAACGAUGCGUAGCCGACCUGAGAGGGUGAUCGGCCACACUGGAACUGAGACACGGUCCAGACUCCUACGGGAGGCAGCAGUAGGGAAUCUUCCGCAAUGGGCGAAAGCCUGACGGAGCAACGCCGCGUGAGUGAUGAAGGUCUUCGGAUCGUAAAACUCUGUUAUUAGGGAAGAACCAAUGUGUAAGUAACUAUGCACGUCUUGACGGUACCUAAUCAGAAAGCCACGGCUAACUACGUG